CAAGUCGAGCGGGCCUUUCGGGGUCAGCGGCGGACGGGUGAGUAACGCGUGGGAACGUGCCCUCUGGUUCGGAAUAACUCAGGGAAACUUGAGCUAAUACCGGAUACGCCCUUUUGGGGAAAGGCUUGCUGCCGGAGGAUCGGCCCGCGUCUGAUUAGCUAGUUGGUGAGGUAACGGCUCACCAAGGCGACGAUCAGUAGCUGGUCUGAGAGGAUGAUCAGCCACACUGGGACUGAGACACGGCCCAGACUCCUACGGGAGGCAGCAGUGGGGAAUAUUGGACAAUGGGCGCAAGCCUGAUCCAGCCAUGCCGCGUGAGUGAUGAAGGCCUUAGGGUUGUAAAGCUCUUUUAUCCGGGACGAUAAUGACGGUACCGGAGGAAUAAGCCCCGGCUAACUUCGUGCCAGCAGCCGCGGUAAUACGAAGGGGGCUAGCGUUGCUCGGAAUCACUGGGCGUAAAGGGCGCGUAGGCGGCGUUUUAAGUCGGGGGUGAAAGCCUGUGGCUCAACCACAGAAUGGCCUUCGAUACUGGGACGCUUGAGUAUGGUAGAGGUUGGUGGAACUGCGAGUGUAGAGGUGAAAUUCGUAGAUAUUCGCAAGAACACCGGUGGCGAAGGCGGCCAACUGGA
Molecule: ribosomal RNA, 629 nt
Filed under: uncultured bacterium
Lineage: Bacteria
Description: bacterial SSU rRNA
Rfam family: Bacterial small subunit ribosomal RNA
Source: RNAcentral